This 515-nucleotide ribosomal RNA is filed under the name uncultured bacterium. RNAcentral describes it as "partial 16S ribosomal RNA". It matches the Rfam family "Bacterial small subunit ribosomal RNA", at positions 28 to 523 of the family's 1533-position model. The record is from RNAcentral.
GAUGAACGCUGGCGGCGUGCCUAAUACAUGCAAGUCGAGCGAAUGGAUUAAGAGCUUGCUCUUAUGAAGUUAGCGGCGGACGGGUGAGUAACACGUGGGUAACCUGCCCAUAAGACUGGGAUAACUCCGGGAAACCGGGGCUAAUACCGGAUAAUAUUUUGAACUGCAUGGUUCAAAAUUGAAAGGCGGCUUCGGCUGUCACUUAUGGAUGGACCCGCGUCGCAUUAGCUAGUUGGUGAGGUAACGGCUCACCAAGGCAACGAUGCGUAGCCGACCUGGGAGGGGGACCGGCCACGCUGGGACUGAGACACGGCCCAGACUCCUACGGGAGGCAGCAGUAGGGAAUCUUCCGCAAUGGACGAAAGUCUGACGGAGCAACGCCGCGUGAGUGAUGAAGGCUUUCGGGUCGUAAAACUCUGUUGUUAGGGAAGAACAAGUGCUAGUUGAAUAAGCUGGCACCUUGACGGUACCUAACCAGAAAGCCACGGCUAACUACGUGCCAGCCGCCGCGGUAA